AUGUUAAUAGCAUAUUCAUUUGACGUUAGCUGCAGAAGAAGCACCGGCUAACUCCGUGCCAGCAGCCGCGGUAAUACGGAGGGUGCGAGCGUUAAUCGGAAUUACUGGGCGUAAAGCGCAUGCAGGUGGUUUGUUAAGUCAGAUGUGAAAGCCCGGGGCUCAACCUCGGAAUUGCAUUUGAAACUGGCAAACUAGAGUACUGUAGAGGGGGUAGAAUUUCAGGUGUAGCGGUGAAAUGCGUAGAGAUCUGAAGGAAUACCGGUGGCGAAGGCGGCCCCCUGGACAGAUACUGACACUCAGAUGCGAAAGCGUGGGGAGCAAACAGGAUUAGAUACCCUGGUAG
RNAcentral lists this ribosomal RNA (343 nucleotides) under uncultured bacterium. RNAcentral's name for it is "bacterial SSU rRNA". It matches the Rfam family "Bacterial small subunit ribosomal RNA", at positions 450 to 793 of the family's 1533-position model. The record is from RNAcentral.